Molecule: long non-coding RNA, 98 nt
Organism: Lynx canadensis (Canada lynx)
Lineage: Eukaryota; Metazoa; Chordata; Mammalia; Carnivora; Felidae
Exons: 3
Source: RefSeq, a predicted model, not a curated record
CCAAAAGCAAAAGGAUAUACAUUCUUUUCAAGUGCACAUGGAGCAUUCUCUAGAAUACAUCAUCUGUUAGGCCAGAAAACAAGUCUCAAUUAAUUUAA